GGGAGACCUAAUUCAGGUAGGAGACGAAAAAAAAGUAGUCGCUACCAAGAAUCAAUCCCAAAAGGUCGGAGCGAGGCAAAAUUGGCUUUCAAACUAGGUUCUGGGUUCACACAAGACCUGAAUCAGGAACAAGGGCUAUUAGCUCAGGUGGUUAGAGCGCACCCCUGAUAAGGGUGAGGUCCCUGGUUCGAGUCCAGGAUGGCCCACCUGCACAGGUGGCAAAAACAAAGAAAAAAAGCUCCGAAUCAGCACCUUAUCUUACUUAUAUAGUAAGAGAGAAUGCUGGCUCUGAGUACAGAGUCCAGAGGAACCUUGAAAACUGCAUAGAGCUAGGUGAAAAAGCCAAAAAAGAAGACCGCAAGGUCAAGCUAAUAAGGGCUAACGGUG
This 387-nucleotide transfer RNA is filed under the name Microcystis sp. T1(2011). Its description in RNAcentral is "partial 16S-23S ribosomal RNA intergenic spacer". The stretch from base 133 to 206 matches the Rfam family "tRNA". Lineage: Bacteria; Bacillati; Cyanobacteriota; Cyanophyceae; Chroococcales; Microcystaceae. The record is from RNAcentral.